Molecule: ribosomal RNA, 301 nt
Filed under: uncultured bacterium
Lineage: Bacteria
Description: partial 16S ribosomal RNA
Rfam family: Bacterial small subunit ribosomal RNA
Source: RNAcentral
CAGUAGCCGCGGGAAAACGGAGGGUGCAGGCGUUAAUCGGAAUUACUGGGCGUAAAGCGCACGCAGGCGGUUUGUUAAGUCUGCUGUGAAAUCCCCGGGCCCAACCUGGGAAUGGCAGUGGAUACUGGCAAGCUAGAGUGUGUCAGAGGAUGGUGGAAUUCCCGGUGUAGCGGUGAAAUGCGUAGAGAUCGGGAGGAACAUCAGUGGCGAAGGCGGCCAUCUGGGACAACACUGACGCUGAGGCACGAAAGCGUGGGGAGCAAACAGGAUUAGAUACCCGCGUAGUCCCUGUCUCUUAUAC